UUAAUAGAAACUAAUUUUAGUAUUUCACUGUUGAUGAAAAUUUAGAGAUUUCUCCUAUUAAG
Molecule: transfer RNA, 62 nt
Filed under: Scorpiops tibetanus
Lineage: Eukaryota; Metazoa; Arthropoda; Arachnida; Scorpiones; Euscorpiidae
Description: tRNA-Asn
Source: RNAcentral